Molecule: long non-coding RNA, 786 nt
Filed under: Androctonus crassicauda
Lineage: Eukaryota; Metazoa; Arthropoda; Arachnida; Scorpiones; Buthidae
Source: RNAcentral
AAAUUUGGCAUAUAUAGGAGUUAUGAAAAGAACACUGCAUCAAAGAAUACAAGAACAUAAAAAAGACAUGCAGACAGGAACAACUACCACAGUCCUUGCUCAAGCAAUGUAUGCUCACAGAAUAAAUAUAAACUGGAAUGAAGCAAAAAUCGUAAAACCUGUUCUAAAACAAUCUCAGGCAUUAUUCGUUGAAAGUCUACAAAUAAUAAAAGAGCAAACAAAUGGCCCAAUUCUAAACAAAAAACUUCAAGAGAGAUCCCAGAUACAUGGAAAUACUUAAUCCAAAAAGCAAAGCAAAAUAAUAAAAAUAGCAUCUCAUAUUACUUUCGAUUUACUGUCCAUAAUAUAAGUUUAUCUAAAUUCGUAAAAAAACUUGUUUUUGUUAAAAAAAAAUAAUUCAUUUUAAAAAAUAAUCCUCUUAUAAAAAUAUUUUGUCUAUAAAAACUAACUUAACUAUUUUACUAUAUUUAUUUAUAUAUAAAAAAUAUGUUACCAUAGUAACUAAACUAUUUUCAAAUAUCUGUAAGUUUUGAAUGUUCUACGAAACUCGUUUUGUCAUAUUUUGAUGGAAGCCCUGACGAUGGCAAUGUAAUUCUUGCCGAAAGCAUUUGGCAAUAAAAUUUUUGCUUUAAGUUGAACACAGCUGCUGUUUACAGUUAUUAUUUAUUUAUUUAUAUAAUUCAAGUGAAGAAAAGCAGUGUAUCAAAAACCAAAAACUAUUGAAAUGAAUCAAAUAUUUUAUUGUAUUUUCUUCAAUUUCUAAUAUGCUGGAAACUGAGGAGGGUG